This 369-nucleotide ribosomal RNA is filed under the name Triticum aestivum (bread wheat). RNAcentral's name for it is "partial small subunit ribosomal RNA". The record is from RNAcentral. Lineage: Eukaryota; Viridiplantae; Streptophyta; Magnoliopsida; Poales; Poaceae.
AUGGCACGCAUCGACUAUGCGCCGGGAGGCCAGAACCCGCCGCAUACCCACCCGCGCGCCACCGAGAUCAUCUUCGUUACCCAAGGAGUCCUCGAGGUGGGCUUCAUCACCACCGCCAACAAGCUCUUCACUAAGACCGUAACCGUCGGAGACGUGUUCGUCUUCCCGCGUGGGCUCGUGCACUUCCAGCAGAAUAGGGGACGUGGCCCCGCCUCCGUCAUCGCCGGCUUCAACAGCCAGCUCCAGGGCACACAAGUCAUCGCCACCACGCUCUUCGCUGCCGCGCCGCCAGUGCCUAGCGAUGUGCUGGCCAAGGCCUUCCGGAUCGACAACGGGCAGGUGGACGCUAUCAAGGCCAAGUUCAUGUAG